RNAcentral lists this ribosomal RNA (253 nucleotides) under uncultured bacterium. RNAcentral describes it as "partial 16S ribosomal RNA". It matches the Rfam family "Bacterial small subunit ribosomal RNA", at positions 524 to 776 of the family's 1533-position model. The record is from RNAcentral.
UACGUAGGGGGCAAGCGUUGUCCGGAAUCAUUGGGCGUAAAGAGCGCGUAGGCGGCCCUGUAAGUCCGCUGUGAAAGUCAAGGGCUCAACCCUUGAAAGCCGGUGGAUACUGUGGGACUAGAGUACGGAAGAGGCGAGUGGAAUUCCUGGUGUAGCGGUGGAAUGCGCAGAUAUCAGGAGGAACACCAAUAGCGAAGGCAGCUCGCUGGGACGUUACUGACACUGAGGCGCGAAAGCGUGGGGAGCGAACAGG